This 331-nucleotide ribosomal RNA is filed under the name uncultured Glomeromycotina. Its description in RNAcentral is "eukaryotic LSU rRNA". The record is from RNAcentral. Lineage: Eukaryota; Fungi; Glomeromycota.
CAGUCGUACCGACGGAAAAUCAGCUCUUUGAGUGCGGACUUGUGGGCUUACGUGAGUUUUAACACCUCGCUGUUUGCAACGUUCGUGUUUUUUGGGUGUACUUUUUCGUAUGGUUGGCCAAUAUCAGUUUUGAUCGCUAUAAAAUGACCGGCGGAAUGUAGCUUCGAUCUCGUAUUGAAGUGUUAUAGCCUCUGGUAGAUGUGGUGAUCGGGACUGAGGAUUGCAACGAAUACCUUUUGGGCUAUCCGUCUGAUCUCUGAAGGUUGCUUAGGUGCCGAAAGCGUGCUUACGGUUAUUUAAGUUGACAGUCAAAAGGUUAGAACGGAUUAUA